UCUUUUGAGGUCACCAUUGGGCUGAGGAAGAAAUUCAUCAUGCUGUUCUUUUGAGGUCACCAUUGGACUGUGGAAGAAAUUCAUCAUGUUGUUCUUUUGAAACAUUGUAACAGCAUGAGGUUUGAACUUCAAUACAUCCACCAGACACUGAACUCUUUGGAGAGGGCGAUAAAGGAACUCAAAAACUCGAGGAACAAUGAACAAUCUGGAGACAGUAUUACAGCAGAACAUGAACAGAAUGAGCAUGAACCACAGAACUUGACCGGUUCUGGAGGAACAACUUGAAAGUCUCACCAUGAGAAAGAAAUCACCUGGCUUGGCAACUGGUCUUCUCUUUCGGAAGAUGUUUUUACCGGAAGAGAUAGUUGGGAGGAGUGCCUCUGGCACAAGAGGGAAGCUUGCCAUAGAUAAGGAGGCAUUAGUUGAGCAAAUGGAGCCACCUACCCAAAACGCCAACGUCGAGCCUGAAGGUUGCAGUGACCAAGCAACAUCACAUAAAAGAGCCAGACAAGUAACUCACGCCGCAAAUACCCUGGAAGAGGAAGAGGAAGAGGAACAGCCACGAAGCGUGCAGCCACCAUGACAACCAGAAAAAAGGGUCCACACCAGGGAACUGCACCGCAAGAGAACCGAUUAACCACGAGUGUUCUCAGUCUACAAGCAGGGACAUGUGUGUAUGUGGCCGUUCCUACCUCAUCAAACCGGACGGUGCCAUUUGUUGCUGAGGUGACGCAGAGAGAACCGUUAAAUGUGAAGUAUCUUCAUCCAAGUAAGACGAGGGGAUCCUGGCAUUUCCCUGACAAGGAAGACACAGGUGCAAUCAAUACAGAAGACAUCAUUACAGUGUUGGCGGCACUCCAAACUAGGAUAUCAGGGUCCCGUUUCUAUGCGGAGUUCAGGGACCUGCCCUGAAGACCUGUCGCGUUUCUUCUGUGUGAGUGGUCUCAUGGUUCUGUUGCCAGUGAUAUGCGUGCGUGCGUGUGUAUGUUUCCAGUUGUAAAUGUACAUAUGAGUGUGUACAUAUGAUGUGUUUAUUUCUAAUACCUAUAUUUAUUUAUUGCGUGUGGUUUCUUUCAUGGUUAUAUAUUUCUAUAUUCGUGUGUGUGUGUGUGUGGUUUGUAUAUAUUUGUAUGACAGUGCUCAUAAUAUAUAUAAAGAUAUAACUGAA
RNAcentral lists this unclassified non-coding RNA (1168 nucleotides) under Haliotis rubra (blacklip abalone). RNAcentral's name for it is "uncharacterized LOC124291106, transcript variant X2". The record is from RNAcentral. Lineage: Eukaryota; Metazoa; Mollusca; Gastropoda; Lepetellida; Haliotidae.